This 504-nucleotide long non-coding RNA is filed under the name Monodelphis domestica (gray short-tailed opossum). Its description in RNAcentral is "lncRNA (ENSMODG00000031970.2)". Lineage: Eukaryota; Metazoa; Chordata; Mammalia; Didelphimorphia; Didelphidae. The record is from RNAcentral.
UGUUCUUUCUCUUUAAUGGUUUCAUAAGCAGACUUUCUAAACAGGUUAAAAAACCCCAACAACUUAUUAGUGGAAUGUUCCUGUUCAACUGCCAAUACCAGUAAUAUAAACACAGUCACUAAAAUAAAUACUAUCCUCUUUUGCACCAGGAACUAAAUUUGCCUGAAAGAAUGAGAAAAGAAUAGACUUCAGAUAAAAGUAGACCUUGCCAAGUUAAAAGGCAUUCAUUCUCUAAUCUCUGAGAAUAGUAAUAAUAAAUAGAUGUAAUUGCAGGUUUCUUUAUUCUCCAAGUUGGAAGCCAAAGAGAAUCAUGAAUAUUCAAGAUGGUCACUUACUGGACCUUUAGUCUUAUCCCCAUUGACCAGGAAAAGAAUAAGCCUAAGUGGGCUCCAGGAUUCCAAAGACCAAGGAGCCAAGGAAACUGAGAGGGAGUCAAAUUUUCCUGAGUCAGUUCUACUUGGAGUUCUAUUUGGAGUGGAGGCUGAAGAAGAAUCUGCUAACUGA